CCUGGUGUCUAUGGCGAUGUGGAACCACUCCGAACCAUCUCGAACUCGGUUGUGAAACGCAUCUGCGGCAAAUAUAGUGGGCGGGUCACUGCCUGUAAAUCUAGCUCGAUGCCAGGA
RNAcentral lists this ribosomal RNA (117 nucleotides) under Synechococcales cyanobacterium CRU_2_2. The record is from RNAcentral. Lineage: Bacteria; Bacillati; Cyanobacteriota; Cyanophyceae; Synechococcales.